GGCUCAGGAUGAACGCUAGCGGCAGGCUUAACACAUGCAAGUCGAGGGGCAGCAUGAAGGUUAGCAAUAACCUUGAUGGCGACCGGCGCAAGGGUGCGUAACGCGUGAGCAACUUGCCCGUUUCUGGGGGAAUAACCGGUGGAAACGCCGACUAAUACCCCAUGGCAUCAGAUUGAGGCAUCUUAAUUUGAUUAAAGAAUUUCGGAAACGGAUAGGCUCGCGUGACAUUAGCUAGAUGGCGGGUAACGGCCACCAUGGCUACGAUGUCUAGGGGUUCUGAGAGGAAGGUCCCCCACACUGGAACUGAGACACGGUCCAGACUCCUACGGGAGGCAGCAGUGAGGAAUAUUGGUCAAUGGGCGAGAGCCUGAACCAGCCAAGUAGCGUGAAGGAAGACUGCCCUAUGGGUUGUAAACUUCUUUUGUUCGGGAAUAAAGUGCAGUACGCGUACUGUUUUGUAUGUACCGUUCGAAUAAGCAUCGGCUAAUUCCGUG
RNAcentral lists this ribosomal RNA (494 nucleotides) under uncultured bacterium. Its description in RNAcentral is "bacterial SSU rRNA". It matches the Rfam family "Bacterial small subunit ribosomal RNA", at positions 21 to 507 of the family's 1533-position model. The record is from RNAcentral.